Molecule: long non-coding RNA, 607 nt
Organism: Numida meleagris (helmeted guineafowl)
Lineage: Eukaryota; Metazoa; Chordata; Aves; Galliformes; Numididae
Source: Ensembl
GAUCAAAGCACACCCAUCUCUUAAAAAACCUUCCCAGAGAGAAGUGGAGAGCAAAGCUACUUGGGGAAGGGCAACAUGUGUGGAGAGUGAGGCAGUAACUGCAGGAGAUCCUGUUCACCUCAGUCCAAACAGCACGGAUGCCCAAACAAAACAAAACAUUAUAAAAUCUAUAAGCACACAUUUAAAACCUUAGACAUCUGCUGUCACACAAAGUAAAAAACUUAUAAAAAGGCAAUGAGAUUUGCUCUAUUACAUUCCACAUGACAGACUGUGGAUAGCUCACAUGAGUGAAACUGGAAUUGUUGAUAGUGGACACCCAUGGAGGUCAUUGGCAUACCAGCUCAUUUGCCAAGAGGAGUAUGAUACUGCCUUGCUCCACACAUGGGGCUAUUGCUAUAUAUCUUCCAUCACACCGUACGCUUUGCUCCCUGUUCACAGGAUGACACUUCUUUCACUAUUGCCAUUCUCAUUGGGAUCAUCGGUUUCAGCAGCACCUUUAGAGAGCUUACUAGCAAGCUGCCUAACUUGGGACAUUGCUCUGAGCUUGAUUAAAUUCAGCUGGCAUUAGAAAACUUUAUCCCAGAUGUUUAUUUGACAAAUGCUUAAC